UAUUGAGAAGUAUAUUAUGAUAUAUUAAUUCAAGAAAGGACUAAAUUGUAAAAGUGAGAAAAGUUUUGUUGCACAAGAGUAAAUAUUCAUAAUUUGAAGGGUUAAAGUGUAAAUAUGAAAAAGUUGAAGGACCAAUAGUGUAAAUAAUUUAAGAGUGGAAUGAUCUAGAAACUAAGGAAAAUGGAUGAAUUAGGACCAAAUUG
RNAcentral lists this long non-coding RNA (203 nucleotides) under Gossypium barbadense (sea-island cotton). Its description in RNAcentral is "long non-coding RNA (GBAR_LNC001798)". Lineage: Eukaryota; Viridiplantae; Streptophyta; Magnoliopsida; Malvales; Malvaceae. The record is from RNAcentral.